AUACGUAGGGGACGAGCGUUGUCCGGAAUUACUGGGCGUAAAGGGCGCGCAGGCGGAUAUUUAAGUCAGCUGUAAAAGGCAUGAGCUCAACUCAUGUAUGCGGUUGAAACUGGGUAUCUAGAGUGCUGGAGAGGUAGGCGGAAUUCCCGGUGUAGCGGUGAAAUGCGUAGAUAUCGGGAAGAACACCAGUGGCGAAGGCGGCUUACUGGCCAGCAACUGACGCUGAGGCGCGAAAGCCAGGGGAGCGAACGGGACUAGAUACCCCGGUAGUCCUGGCCGUAAACGAUGAAUGCUAGGUGUGGGUGUCGAGAGGCAUCCGUGCCGGAGUUAACGCGAUAAGCAUUCCGCCUGGGGAGUACGAUCGCAAGAUUGAAACUCAAAUGAAUUGACGGGG
This 394-nucleotide ribosomal RNA is filed under the name uncultured bacterium. Its description in RNAcentral is "partial 16S ribosomal RNA". It matches the Rfam family "Bacterial small subunit ribosomal RNA", at positions 523 to 918 of the family's 1533-position model. The record is from RNAcentral.